Molecule: long non-coding RNA, 433 nt
Organism: Rana temporaria (common frog)
Lineage: Eukaryota; Metazoa; Chordata; Amphibia; Anura; Ranidae
Exons: 3
Source: RefSeq, a predicted model, not a curated record
GCUGAUCAAGUGGGUGUGUGUAGCAUCUCUUCAGUACAGGCAAUUGUGCUGUCUGAUUGAGGGCCCCGCCCCCACACUGGUCAGCUGACGUGACGUUGGGGGCAGUCUGGUGCAUUUGCUGGACGUAUUUAAGCACCUUCCCAGCCCUUCAGCCAGUGGCCAUUUUCUAUGCAGGCCUUACAGCUGUCACUAGCUGUGGCCAUCCUACUCGCAUUCCAGAUACCUACCUGUACUAUGAGGAUACACUAUAAUUUUACUUUACCCAUGGUCGCUGUGCUGUCUGGGAGGGAUGCUUUAUGCGCUCUGCUGUUUGCCUGCUGGUCUGCCACCUCUGUCCCGGGACGGGCAUAUGUUUGGUCUUAACUGUAUUUACAUUACCACUUUGACAUACUAUAUAUCCCACUACAUCCGCCCCUGAUGAGUGUUUUUCAUA